AUACGAAGGGUGCAAGCGUUACUCGGAAUCACUGGGCGUAAAGGAUGCGUAGGCUGGAUGUCAAGUUGGAAGUGAAAUCCUAUGGCUUAACCAUAGAACUGCUUCCAAAACUGGCAACCUAGAGUGAGGGAGAGGCAGAUGGAAUUAGUGGUGUAGGGGUAAAAUCCGUAGAUAUCACUAGGAAUACCGAUUGCGAAGGCGAUCUGCUAGAACUCUACUGACGCUAAGGCAUGAAAGCGUGGGGAGCAAACAGGAUUAGAAACCCCGGUAGUCC
Molecule: ribosomal RNA, 274 nt
Filed under: uncultured bacterium
Lineage: Bacteria
Description: partial 16S ribosomal RNA
Rfam family: Bacterial small subunit ribosomal RNA
Source: RNAcentral